CAUGGCCAUACCACCCUGAAUGCACCCAAGCUCGUCUGAUCUCAGAAGCUAAGCAGGGUUGGGCCUGGUUAGUACUUGGAUGGGAGAAGUUUGAAACCAGACUACGCAACAUGU
Molecule: ribosomal RNA, 114 nt
Organism: Pan paniscus (pygmy chimpanzee)
Lineage: Eukaryota; Metazoa; Chordata; Mammalia; Primates; Hominidae
Source: Ensembl